CUUGUUAAUUGCGUAUAAACAGUGUUAUGUAAACGUAGAGUUAGGCCUGUUUGGUACCACCCUACUAUUUAGUUAAAAGAAAUACUUCGUAUUGCUAUACCCAUUUGAAGGAUCAUCAUCAUCAUCCUCACUUGGUGGUAGGUCUGUGUGCAAGCCUGUCUGGGUUGAAUAAACAUCCCCUGAGGAGAGCUCCGCCAAGCCACAAGCGUCGCACAGCACGGAGCACAGCACGGGAGAGGCCGCGAAUGCGUUAUAGGAGGACGGUAAUCGCAGUAGUUUUAGUAGGCUGUGUAAUAAGGACUAAGAGAUAUAGAUCUAGUUAUAUUCGAGCAUUCGGAAUGGUCUAUAAAAAAUUCAAGCAUCGAACAAAACUCAGGAACGUCACACAUCAGUCAGGUCACAAUUAAAACCGAACGCACCUUGCCUCCCAGUGAGCUUUUGAAAAAGGAACGUGUUGACGACGCAAAAUAAAACAUCACCUCUCUCCUUCUCACUUACAAACCUCAUACACGU
This is a long non-coding RNA of Nymphalis io (European peacock), 513 nucleotides long. RefSeq lists it as uncharacterized. Lineage: Eukaryota; Metazoa; Arthropoda; Insecta; Lepidoptera; Nymphalidae. The transcript has 4 exons. The record is from RefSeq and is a predicted model, not a curated record.